AAUAAGGUGCCUGAUAAAAAGGAUUAUCUUGAUAGGAUAAAUUAUGUAUUAUAUACUCUUAUUA
Molecule: transfer RNA, 64 nt
Filed under: Hyalopeplus sp.
Lineage: Eukaryota; Metazoa; Arthropoda; Insecta; Hemiptera; Miridae
Description: tRNA-Ile
Source: RNAcentral